Molecule: transfer-messenger RNA, 384 nt
Filed under: Umboniibacter marinipuniceus
Lineage: Bacteria; Pseudomonadati; Pseudomonadota; Gammaproteobacteria; Cellvibrionales; Cellvibrionaceae
Also listed under: 1 other name
Description: Standard tmRNA
Rfam family: transfer-messenger RNA
About the family: Bacterial tmRNA, also known as 10Sa RNA or SsrA, is named for its dual tRNA and mRNA-like properties. Its role is to liberate the mRNA from a stalled ribosome.
Source: Rfam by way of RNAcentral
GGGGCCGACUUGGAUUCGACGACGGUAACAAAGUUUUCUGGUGCAUGCCGUGAUGACAGCCAAUCACGUUAAUCCAAAGCUGUAUUUGUUAUAGUUGCAAACGACUCUAACUAUGAAGGUUACGCACUAGCUGCAUAAACCUUUAAUAGCGGUUCGCCCGCUAUCGGUCAUCAGCAAGGUGCCAGUAUCGCGCUGCUGACUGUCAUAUAGAACUGGAUCGUAACAAGGUUUGCUUGAGGCUGCGUUACUAAACUUUUAUCAAGAUCGCCAAUAACGUCCUGUCCCUCGGGCUGUUUGCGGUUAACUUAAUUGAGGGAGACUAAGCAUGUAGAGCCGAAAAUGGCGUACUGGCGGACGGGGGUUCAACUCCCCCCGGCUCCACCA